GAGUUUGAUCCUGGCUCAGGACGAACGCUGGCGGCGUGCUUAACACAUGCAAGUCGAACGGAGCACCCCUGAAAGAGUUUUCGGACAAUGGAAGGGAAUGCUUAGUGGCGGACUGGUGAGUAACGCGUGAGGAACCUGCCUUCCAGAGGGGGACAACGGUUGGAAACGACUGCUAAUACCGCAUGACACAUGACCGUGGCAUCACGGACAUGUCAAAGAUUUAUCGCUGGAAGAUGGCCUCGCGUCUGAUUAGCUAGUAGGCGGGGUAACGGCCCACCUAGGCGACGAUCAGUAGCCGGACUGAGAGGUUGACCGGCCACAUUGGGACUGAGAUACGGCCCAGACUCCUACGGGAGGCAGCAGUGGGGAAUAUUGGGCAAUGGGCGCAAGCCUGACCCAGCAACGCCGCGUGAAGGAAGAAGGCUUUCGGGUUGUAAACUUCUUUUAAGGGGGAAGAGCAGAAGACGGUACCCCUUGAAUAAGCCACGGCUAACUACGUGCCAGCAGCCGCGGUAAUACGUAGGUGGCAAGCGUUGUCCGGAUUUACUGGGUGUAAAGGGCGUGCAGCCGGGACUGCAAGUCAGAUGUGAAAUCCGCGGGCUUAACCCGCGAACUGCAUUUGAAACUGCGGAUCUUGAGUACCGGAGAGGUUAUCGGAAUUCCUUGUGUAGCGGU
This 675-nucleotide ribosomal RNA is filed under the name uncultured bacterium. RNAcentral's name for it is "bacterial SSU rRNA". It matches the Rfam family "Bacterial small subunit ribosomal RNA", at positions 9 to 682 of the family's 1533-position model. The record is from RNAcentral.